Molecule: ribosomal RNA, 735 nt
Filed under: Salmonella enterica subsp. enterica serovar Infantis
Lineage: Bacteria; Pseudomonadati; Pseudomonadota; Gammaproteobacteria; Enterobacterales; Enterobacteriaceae
Description: partial 23S ribosomal RNA
Rfam family: Bacterial large subunit ribosomal RNA
Source: RNAcentral
UAAUGUUUGAUGUUCUAACGUGGAUCCGUAAUCCGGGUUGCGGACAGUGUCUGGUGGGUAGUUUGACUGGGGCGGUCUCCUCCUAAAGAGUAACGGAGGAGCACGAAGGUUGGCUAAUCCUGGUCGGACAUCAGGAGGUUAGUGCAAUGGCAUAAGCCAGCUUGACUGCGAGCGUGACGGCGCGAGCAGGUGCGAAAGCAGGUCAUAGUGAUCCGGUGGUUCUGAAUGGAAGGGCCAUCGCUCAACGGAUAAAAGGUACUCCGGGGAUAACAGGCUGAUACCGCCCAAGAGUUCAUAUCGACGGCGGUGUUUGGCACCUCGAUGUCGGCUCAUCACAUCCUGGGGCUGAAGUAGGUCCCAAGGGUAUGGCUGUUCGCCAUUUAAAGUGGUACGCGAGCUGGGUUUAGAACGUCGUGAGACAGUUCGGUCCCUAUCUGCCGUGGGCGCUGGAGAACUGAGGGGGGCUGCUCCUAGUACGAGAGGACCGGAGUGGACGCAUCACUGGUGUUCGGGUUGUCAUGCCAAUGGCACUGCCCGGUAGCUAAAUGCGGAAGAGAUAAGUGCUGAAAGCAUCUAAGCACGAAACUUGCCCCGAGAUGAGUUCUCCCUGAGACUUAGAGUCUCCUGAAGGAACGUUGAAGACGACGACGUUGAUAGGCCGGGUGUGUAAGCGCAGCGAUGCGUUGAGCUAACCGGUACUAAUGAACCGUGAGGCUUAACCUUACAACGCCGAAG